UAAGCGGAGGAAAAGAAACUAACAAGGAUUCCCUUAGUAACGGCGAGUGAAGUGGGAAAAGCUCAAAUUUUAAAUCACCCGGGUUUCCUUGGUGAAUUGUAAUUUGAAGAAAGUGUUUUGACGUUCGGGUUCGAUUUAAAUCCUUUGGGAUAAGGUAUCAUGGAGGGUUAGAAUCCCGUUAAUGAUUGAUCCUUUGAAUGUCUAUAAUUCACUUUCCAAGAGUCGAGUUGUUUGGGAUUGCAGCUCAAAAAGGGUGGUAAAUUUCACCUAAGGCUAAAUAUGUGCAAGAGACCGAUAGCGAACAAGUACCGUGAGGGAAAGAUGAAAAGAACUUUGAAAAGAGAGUCAAAUAGUACGUGAAAUUGUUGAUAGGGAAACGAUUGAAGUCAGUCAUGCCGGUGGAAAAUCAACUUAUGGACUACUAUGAGUGCACUUUUCGCAUGGCAGGUCAAUAUUAGUUUUGUUGGGUCAUAAUUAUUGUAGAAAGGUGACUCCUUCGGGAGUGUUAUAGACUACUUUAGAUGGCCUGACAUAGACUAAGGAUUGCAGCGAAUGCCUUUAGGCUACAGUUCUUUCUCUGUAAGUCGUUGAUUGGUUGUCAGCUUGCUGACUUCUAGUUAAUUGGCUGACAGUAAGGGAGAAAUCUGUUAAAUUCGCUAAGGGAUGUUGACGUAAUGGCUUUAAACGACCCGUCUUGAAACACGGACCAAAGGAGUCUAGCAUAUAUGCGAGUGUU
This 736-nucleotide ribosomal RNA is filed under the name uncultured Archaeospora. RNAcentral describes it as "LSU rRNA". It matches the Rfam family "Eukaryotic large subunit ribosomal RNA", at positions 47 to 694 of the family's 3401-position model. The record is from RNAcentral. Lineage: Eukaryota; Fungi; Glomeromycota; Glomeromycetes; Archaeosporales; Archaeosporaceae.